CGGUAGCUAAGUGCGGAAAAGAUAAGUGCUGAAAGCAUCUAAGCACGAAACUUGCCCCGAGAUGAGUUCUCCCUGACUCCCAGAGAGUCCUGAAGGGACGUUGAAGACGACGACGUUGAUAGGCCGGGUGUGUAAGCGCAGCGAUGCGUUGAGCUAACCGGUACUAAUGACCCGUGAGGCUUAACCUUACAACGCCAGAGGCGUUU
Molecule: ribosomal RNA, 206 nt
Filed under: Pantoea sp. EKM103V
Lineage: Bacteria; Pseudomonadati; Pseudomonadota; Gammaproteobacteria; Enterobacterales; Erwiniaceae
Also listed under: 1 other name
Description: partial 23S ribosomal RNA
Rfam family: Bacterial large subunit ribosomal RNA
Source: RNAcentral